RNAcentral lists this ribosomal RNA (494 nucleotides) under uncultured bacterium. RNAcentral's name for it is "partial 16S ribosomal RNA". It matches the Rfam family "Bacterial small subunit ribosomal RNA", at positions 28 to 507 of the family's 1533-position model. The record is from RNAcentral.
GACGAACGCUGGCGGCGUGCUUAACACAUGCAAGUCGAACGGUGAAGCGCCUUCCUUUUUGGUGGGUGUGGAUGAGUGGCGAACGGGUGAGUAACACGUGAGUAACCUGCCCCCUUCUUCUGGAUAACCGCAUGAAAGUGUGGCUAAUACGGGAUAUUCUGGGUCUGUCGCAUGAUGGGUCUGGGAAAGAUAUUGUUUCGGUGGGGGAUGGGCUCGCGGCCUAUCAGCUUGUUGGUGGGGUGAUGGCCUACCAAGGCGGUGACGGGUAGCCGGCCUGAGAGGGUGGACGGUCACACUGGGACUGAGACACGGCCCAGACUCAUACGGGAGGCAGCAGUGGGGAAUAUGGCACAAUGGGCGCAAGCCUGAUGAAGCGAAGCCGCGUGAGGGAUGGAGGCCUUCGGGUUGUGAACCUCUUUCGCCAGUGAAGCAGGCCUGCCUCGUUUGUGGGUGGGUUGACGGUAGCUGGAUAAGAAGCGCCGGCUAACUACGUG